Bubalus bubalis (water buffalo) is the source of this 10691-nucleotide long non-coding RNA. RefSeq lists it as uncharacterized. The transcript has 5 exons. NCBI's taxonomy places the organism in Eukaryota, Metazoa, Chordata, Mammalia, Artiodactyla, Bovidae. The record is from RefSeq and is a predicted model, not a curated record.
CAGGAAGAUCUCCUGGAGAAGGGAAAUGGCACUCCACUGCAGUAUUCCUGCCUGGGAAAUUCCGUGGACAGAGGAGCCUGGCAGGCUGCAGUCCAUAGCAUUGCAAGGAACGCUCUGUACCCUGUUACCUGCCCUGAAAGGGGCGCUCUGCCCUGCCUUUUGUUCCUUUUGGCACAUUGGCUGUUUGGCUGUUGUUGGCCAUCAGGGACUCUAAGGCCACCUGAGAAAAGCCCCUGUGAUGUUUGGACCAAGAGAUGUGACAUAAGGGGGGCCAGCCGAGGCUGAAGGAUGAGCUGCUGCCCCUGGCCUGUAAUGCCUGCCUCACCCAGUGUGUCUCCACAGGCUUUGAGCUCAAGCAAAGUCAUCCUUGGAGACACAUCUGUUGUUUCCGUUGCUAUGGCUUCACAACAAACCAGCCCAGGCCUCAGCAGUUUUAAACAACAGUGUUUGUUGACCUUGAGCAUGUGAGUCAGGAAUGUGGACAAACACAGAGCUCUCCACAUGGUCUCCAGCUCCGAGGUGGAGGGGGCUGGCCCCCACGUGGAGGCCAUGCCCCAGGAGAGAGAGGCGGCUUAGCCUCGGACGUCAGCAUCGUCUCCUGUGAGGGGCACUGAGGUCGGACGCAUUUCACAGCUGCCUUUAGAAAUUCAUUGUCCAGGCCGCCGUUUCACAGAGGUGACCCCAGCAGCUGUGCAAACUGGACACUCAGGGACCACACUGCUGGGCUGGGAUGGAACAGGCUGGGGCCAGGGACUGUGCAAAGGGAGGACCCAGGGUGUCUUGGAGAGGCCUCGGCCCACCCAGGCCCUGGAGAUACCCCAGGUGGAGGGGGAUGACUGGAGGCUCCAGGCAGGGGAGGAAGUGGAUCUUGGUGAUGAAGAGCCCCCUGUUGCUUGUGGAUCAUCACUUCCUUCUGACCAGGAGGCCAGCCAGUGGCAGAGGAUGAAGAAAGGGAGUGGGUAGGGAGGGAACCACGCCACCAAGAUUGCAGCCAAACUUUGUAGCUGGACGCAGGCAAGAGGCAAAGUUUCCAUCAACCCCAUCUCUUAGCCCAGGGAGCCUCCCCACACCAAGAGCCAUUCAACAGUGAGCCUGAGGCCUUUCUGCUGGGAGGACAGACUGGGGCCUCUAGUAGCCCUGUUGGGUGGGGAAGGCUGAGGCUCGCCUACUUGUCUGGUGUCCAAGGAGAUGGUCAUCUCUCAGAUGAAACUUGGGUGGAGGCAGGGCUCAUGAGACUACAAUCUCCCCCACUCAGAUGUGGCUCCCAAAGCCAGGGUUCAGUGGUUUGCCCUGAGCUGGGAUAAAAACAUCCCAGGAUUUCCAUUCCCCGCCUCCCCUGCCAUUUUUCCCUUCCUUCAGGAAGCCCUCCAUGACUUCCUGCAAACAGGGUUCCAGCCUCAGCCCUGAGCACCCACUGUUUCAAGGUUUUGUUCAAACAGAAGGUGACUCUUGUUCGUGAUGGAGAGAUGGGGGCACCAGCAUGACCUUGAGGCGGCAGUUUGGAGGCUGAGGUAGGGGCAAGGAUGCUGGUGGGAGGGGGAGGAAGAUGGGGGCAUGUUAAUACAAGAGGGCUUCUGAGUGCACCCCACGCCCCCAGCGCUCAGGAGGCUGGGAGCAGAGUCAGAACUCCACCCUCAGGGUUAGCCUCCACCUAGCACCCAAGCCCCGAGCUGAGCCCAAGAGGCUGGAAAGGAGCCUGUGUGAGCCCCAGCCCUCUCUGGACAUGGCUCGGGGAUGUUUGGACUCUUAAUUAGUGUGAAUGUUCCUUAAUCAUCCUUGGAUGGAGCUCCUGAUGAGGGUUGCCAUGGCCACAGGGCUCUGGUGAGUAAAGGGCCCUCCACACUUUUACAUCAGUCACCUCGCCCAUGUGGAGCUCAGGCAGCUCUGCUCUGAGCCUUGAGCACCUCCAGGAGCUCCUGGCAGCUCCUCCUUCUGUGGCACCCGAGGUCCCUGGGUGCUCCUGGUAGGAACACAUCACCACAGGCUACCACGUGGUGUGUCCUCUGGGCCCUCCCAGUAGUACCACCGGGGGCGGUGGAAGAGGAAACAGGUUCACAGAGGACCAGUGACGUACCCAAGCCCAGUGAUGACUGUCCACGCCCUGUGCCGGGUGAGGACGUGAGGACAGUUACGUGGCAUCAGGUGAGGGCUCGUGGCCUGAAUACCAGCAGCCUGUGAAGUAAGUGCAAGUAGCCAUCCCUGCUUUGUAGGUGAGGUGAGCGGCUCGGAGAGGCUGAGUAACUUGCCCCAGGUCACGGAGCAAGUGAGAGGGCAAGGUGGGCUUCUGGGGCUGCCAGUGCCUGCUCUUGGUAGCAGAGUCAGGGCCCAGGGUUUGCUGUGGUUCCUGGGUCUUCCUGGAGCAUGGAAGUUAUCCCUUCUGCCCCCUCCACUGGCCCUGCGGUGGCCCCGAGGGCCAUGGCACCAUGGCAUGAGGUGGGGAAAGUGGGGGUGAUGGGGUGCUCCAUGCAUGGCACCUGCAACCCAGGGUGGGUUUCAGAGUUCAGUGUCCCAUGGGGACUGUCCCCAGCCUCAGCCCAGCAGCUCCCACAGUCUCCUUCAAAGGGGGCUGAUUCUUCCUGGCUCCUGCCAGCACACACGAUGGUCUGGGGGCCAGGCCAGAUAUGUGACGCAUCCCAUGCCAGCUGCGGACAUGCCAAGGGCACGCAGUGGGUGGGGCAGCGAGCUCCUGAUGCCCUCCAGAGGGGUGCUGACAGCUGGGUCCCUGUCCUCGUCAUGAAUGUCCUGAAUGCAGCCUGCCCUGCUGUUCCUGGUCUCCUAAUUAGAGCGAGACGUGGUCAUGUGCAUCCCCUGCAGCUUUUCCGGACUGUUUUUCACCCAGCUGAGCAGAGGCAGGGCUGUUAGUCCUUGUCACGGUAGAUGAUCAUGGGUCAUGCGUGGUCAGAUGUUUGUUCUGGGAAGCUGGGUCUUCAGAGCGUGAGACUGUCACCUCUCCCCCUUUUCCAUGUUCUGGAGGCUCCUAACCCACAAGACUUAAGGAGGCCCCAGCACCCUGGAGGGCUGCUUCUCUCACCCCAGGCGUGUGCCUUCCUGGACUCAACCUGGUCGUAGGUGUGCAAUCCUCUCUCCUCUUUUGAACACCUGACUUUGCUCACACGGGCGGGUCUCGCGACAACUUUCUCCGUGAGACACUCUGCAGGUAACCCAGGUCUGUCUCUGUGGGGGGCUGCGGUCUGCUGCAGCAGAAAGACCAACGUCCAGACUCUAAAGCACGGACGUCGGUGCUCAUUCACUGAGCAGGUUGGCAGGUGGCUGCCUCCAUCGGGAGGCUCCUCCUGGGAGCGCGUUCUCUGUGUCCUUCGCCCCGGGCCUCGUGAUCUGUCCCUGGAUCCAGUUGCAGGUGGUGAGGAGCGUGGGGAAGGUACAGCCACUUCCCAAAUCCUGGACCAGGUGCUGGCUGGCCUCGCUGGCCCACGUCUCUGGGGAGCUCGUCCCAGACUUGGCCAUCUCCACAGAUGUCUGGCCAUUUCCAAGCUGGUUGUGCAUCAGAAUCGCCAUGGUUCUCUGGAGACACGGACGCCUGGCCCCAGGCCCCACUGUGCUGCUUCACAGGCCCAAGGAUCUACGAGGGCCCUGGGGCAGAGUGGAGAGGACAUGCCCGCCUUGGGAGACAGGAGUUGGGAGAUGUGAUGUCCCCGUCGGGAGGCACAAGCUGCUAAUUGCUUUGUUUUGCGUUAUCAACAUCUGCGGGGAGAGAGCAGAUGCCGCCACUUGCCCAGCCUGCUGUCUCCAGAGGUGACCACUCUGUGGCAUCUAGGGCUCUUGGCACAGAACCUGUCAGACCACAGCCGAGCACCCUGUCCGGCUGCCCCUGUGUCCUUGCUGCUAAGACAGUCGCGCCCACACGCUGCCCUGAGAACGGGCACUGCGAUGACUGCCACUCCUUCCUGCAGCAGCACCAGGAGCAUACUUCUUUCUCCUUCUCGAAGAUUCCAGGCGGAACCUCUCAGCUCGGCGCACAAACUGAAUGGCUCCACCAAGGAAGAGGAAGUGCCUUGUCUGCUGAGAGGAGCUCCAUUCAGCCUCUGAACCUCAGUUUCCCUGUUUGUGAAACCAAGAACUAAUCCCCCUGCAACUGCAUCACAGGGCUUUCUCAAGAGGAUCAAAUUUAAUCAGGUUCAACAAGCUGUGUAUUAAUACAACAUUUAAACUGCUUCCCAAAUGACUGGUGCUGAGGGAAUACAUGCGUGCAUUAAAUGAGAUGUUGUUCUCAGAAGAAAUGGAAAACGCAGAGGAAGGCACACACAUGUCAGCGAGCAGGAUGCAGGGCUGAAUUAGUGAUCAUGGUUGUCCCCAUGGCAACCACGGCCCCGGAACCCCUGUCUCCAUAGCAGACUGUGCCCUUGCUGGCCUGUGACCACCCUGCCCCCAAAUGAUGAGGGUCCAUCACAUGCCCACAAAGGGUAGAACCCAGCCCGUCCUGUUGGGAGUGGAGACGGUGACCCCUGGGCACAGGGGCUAUGUCUUUUGAACCUCCUGGUGCCUCAAGCCCAGCAGAGUACCUGGCACAAGCUCAAUCUCUGAGCUUUUUUUAACCAUGAAACAAACUAGAUGCACAGUGACCAGUAUAACAGUUUGAGAACCACAGCCCUCCCCCCACCCCACUUGCUUCCCAUCUUCUUUAUCACCUAAGGAAGCGUCACUACCGGUUGGCUUUUCUUCCUUUGAACCAGGUCUAAAUGGAUGUCAACAGGCAUCUUUUGGGACGUGUGUUUCUGUUCUCUGCUGUACUGAGACUCAGUUAGUUAACGUCCCCUCUGGGGCAGGACUGAUGGUGGUGGGUGCAGUCAACGCUGCUGAAUGCAGGCAGGGGCUGUGAAGGCAAAUACCCCGUGUGCCCAGCCGAGGAGGAGAGAGUUGGGAGCCCGCGGGAGCCCGAAGGCCAGGCUUGGCAACAGCUGCACUGCCUGGACCCCGGAGGGCGUGCCUGUCUCAGCUGAGUGCCUGUGUGGGUGGAGCCGGGGGGUGUGGAAGCCGGGGCCCUGCCCAGAUGGGGUGUGGAAUGCUGGGGUAUCAGCAGGGCAGGGGCAGGGAUGGGCCUCCUGGGGCCGAGGCCGGAAUCAGUCCCUGAGCACACGGCUGCCCCCACCUCUCAUCCUCAGAGGAGGCCUCCGCCCGGAGUAAGGGCUGAACUGCCCAUGCCCACGCCUCCCAGUGAGCUCCGCGUUGCUGGAUCACAGCAUUUCUAGGUGGGGCUCGUCCGGCUGUCUGCUUGGCCUGGGUCGUGUCCAGGUCCUCGGCCUUUUCCCAUCUAAGACCUUUCCAGGAUGCAUGUCCACCAGAUACAGAUGGACAAAAACUGCAGUGGGCCUGAUCCAGCUAGACCAAGCAUAUCCCUAGAUCUGACCUCCUUCUUCCUUGGUCCCCUGAGGGCCCCUCGCCUUCCUUGUAUGUGGUAGGUGCUCAACAAACUCCUGUCCGGCAGCCCUGAGAUGCUGCACCUCGGGUUCGGUGCUGAAGCGACGUGGAAGGACCCAGAAUAGAUAAGUCCUGUGUUGACCUGCUGAUCCGCGUCCAACCUGGUUUUCAAACCCCUCCCCACUCUUCCUGGAGUGGGGAAGGGAUGGCAUUCCACCAGGGCCAGCGCUGGUCGUGGGAUCUGACAUCCCAGCUAUGAGCUAGGGGUGGAGGCGUGUGGCCCCAGGCCACCUGCCUGAGUCCGAGGCCAGGUCUGUCCCCUCCCCACAGGUGACAUUGAGGCCAACAGCCUCCAUGAUCUCCAUUUCUGUCUGAAACUGUGGAUCUGACGGGCCUGGCACAGGACUGCUGUGGGUACAAAGUUGAGUCUACUUGCCACGCCCUCUUCAAAUGUAAGGCUCGUGUGAUUUUUAAAAGACCUGGGAUCUGAGAGCCCCCAAAAUGCCAGAUGGAGGGCUGUUUUGGGAACGGGACCAGCUGGGCUUCUCUUUGGGCCUGGGGAGCUCCGCCGUGGGGUCCUAACAUUUCUCCCGUAUGGGCCAAUGUGAGGGCUAGGGAGGCUGAAGUGGCCUGAAUCUGUUUCUAAAUCUGACACUGUUGUUGGACACUGAUCAUUUCCAGCUCCUCUUUCACAGGCCCCUAUGAGUGAGAAAAUGUGGCUGAGCUGGGAGGUUUUAUAGCCUUCACUCACCUUUUCCUGGGGCAAGAGCUCCAUCCACUAGAAAACUCUGCUCCCAAGGCCAGAAAACACACACCUUAUAGAAAGUGCUGCGGCCACAUCCAGGGAACAAAAACGUCGCACUAGGUGACUGAGAAGGUGCUCAGUCUUCCCCAGCUUGUCCCACCUGCGAGGAGCUGGAGCCCAAAUAUGGAUUCUCUGGUGGCGGUAGACCGACAGCAGCCCGGUCACUGUACGCUCGCUGUUCAGCUGAGCCAUGAGCUGGACUUUGGUGACCUGAGGAGUCACAACUGAAGGCCUGAGGGGAUGGAGAGCCGCGUGCCAUGCUAGGGUUUUGUGGGACCCCCCCACCAAAGACUUGCAGGUAUUUUAUGUAUCGUCUAUCUACCUGUCAUUAAACUGGCCCCAGAUGACCUGACUCCAGUGAAAACUCAGGUCCCCUAGAGGCCAUGGGGCAGUGAAUACCCUCUCUGGCAUUUCCAUGGUCCCCAUCGAGAACCUUGAAUUCAAUCAGUCUCUGCUGGUCAGUAGAGUGCCUGGCGGAGGCGGAAUUCAGACGCAUGAACCUCUCUCUCUCUGGCAGGGACUCGCAGCCCCCCUAGCUGGCUGCUGGCAGGAAGUUCACCCCUGGGUGAUGAGGAUGCUGGGCUGUGCUCAGUUAAAGGGACAGUCAUCUUGGUGGCCAGGGGCUGGUGCAGAGGCAAAGAGGAAUCGCGGCCCAAGGCAGGAGCAAUCUGGAGGCUGCUUGCUGCUGGAUUGGGAGGGGGUGGGAAGCCAGAGCCAUUUCAGAUCAGUAUACCUGCCCCCUGGAGAGCCCGGGCCACCCCCUGCCCCCACUUCUGGGGGUGUCCACCUGGGUCUUCUCCUUGGAGGUCCCCACAUUCUGCUCCUAUCACCCCAACCACACUUCCUGAUUCCCGUGUUAUCUUCUCCAUCCAGCAGAUUCGGUCAAAUCUUUAGAGCCUGAGGGGCUUCCCUGCCCUGUGACUCACUCAAGACACCUGCAGGGAGCCCCACUCCCAGAGGUCACCACAUCCUGCUGUGUGGGGCAUCUGUACUUGCCCUUGUCAUCCACCUUGGAGCCUGUGUUGAGCUGCGGCAGGCAGACCCCACCUGUCGUUCCUCAAAUGUCCUGUGCAUCCUCACCCAUGUGGAACUCCGGCCCCUUCCCGUGGGUCAGUGAGAUGACAAAUUCUUUACUUAAGUUGCCCCCGUGUCUAGUGGGGAGCCAGCUGUCUGCAGGCCCAGGUGUCUGUGGGUUUGGCAUCUGCCUUUGCUUUGCUACCAGAAGCAGAAUCAUCAGGGGGUGAGAAUCCCAGGGCGUGAGACCCCUGACCCCUGGGGGGAAGCUCAGCUGAUCCUGAAGACCAGGGAGGGGUUCUCAAAAGGUCAGGGGGAGUCAUCACAGCCCAGGCCUCAUGCCACUUCUGGCGCUAAAGUCAUCGACAGCAGAGCACCGAUGUGAGCGUGGUCUCUAGUUGGUCAGAGACGGGACAGCUGCCUUUUGGAGAGGUCAGCCUUAGCUCAGGGUCUGAAUCCACACUUAAUAGUUUAUUGACAAAGUGGAUGUCAAUAUCCAUGGCAACAAAGGCAGGUGGACUUUGAGAGGAUGAAACAAAACUGUCCUCAGGGCUGGUGCUGAAGCUAGUCUGCAGGGCCCCUGAAGGCUCCUACAAAGUCUCAGGGGCCCCGGAAAGGCAGCUUAGUGCAGUGGCCACUGGACAUUCAUGCCUGGAAGGGACAGCGUCUGUUGGUCGACGAGAAGGUGGCCCUUGGAUGAUUUUAAACCCAGAGUCUGCCCCAGAUGAGAGGUGGCCUCUGGUAUCUGGAGAGGUGCAGGAUGACUGGCAGGGUUGAGGGAUGACCUGCCCAGCUCUUGGUGUCAGUGGGCCCUGUUCCCAGGCAGCUGUGUGGCCCCACUGUGGCGUCUCUGGCAAGUGCUAACGGCACAGUAACAGAGGAGCGUGGCUUCCCCCAUAGGGCUCUCCUUGGGACCCAGGCUUGUUCCCUGGAGAGAGUUGGAAUAACUGGGUAAGCGGGGAAGCGUGGUGAGGUGGGGGCACCUGGUGAGGUGGGGGCACCUGGUGACUCAGGAUGCCCAGGGAAGCAGGGGAGAGAGGGGCCUGGGGCAGCAGGAGACCAGCAGGCCACAGGCAUCUGCAAGGAUGUGGGAGGGCCUCACUCAUGCCAAGAUGACAUUUCCAUGGAGGUCACCUAGGCUCCUGCCCGCCCUGCCCCACUCACCCCACCACCACUGCCAGAGACAUGCUGAGAACAUAAACCAAAGUCUUUUUGGAUCCCUAAGAGUCCUGACCCACUAACUUCUGGGACCAGAUGUGAUUUCACUCUUUGAAAACCAUGGCUGAGGCCACGUGCCAUAAGAGGGGUGACAGAUUAGGAUCUGGCUGUUCGGGGGCAGCCUGAUUUUGCUGUUUCCGGGGAGUGUAACUUUGGGGAGAUUACAGGCGCAGGUUUCCAUUGCAGAAAGGGUUUUGACAAGAAUGGAGUGAGCUGGCCAAGGGGAGGCUGUGCCCUCAGGGAGACCGAGGAGGUGGCUUCCACCGGGCACUUUGUGGCCUGCAGGGGCUGCUGGGGUGGGCCUGUCCCCGCUCUACAGCUGCCACGUAGGUGGUGCCGGGUGCAUCACCUUCUCUGACCCUCAGCUCUGACUCCCACUCUCUGGUGCUCUUGGAACUCCAUGGGGAAAGCACCCAAGGGCUGGGGCGAGGCCUGCUCAGGGGUUGUCUAUGGAGGCCACCACGAUUGCAGGUCAGCUUGGGUCUAGGGAGGUGUGGCGGCCUCACACUUUUAGAAGAUGGCAUGCAGGCAGCAGCGACUGACACAGUCCCCUCCCCAGCAAGGCUGAGGGGGCCACGGGGGCCACCCUUAAGUGAGCCUCAGGCCAUACGCGGCCGGUCAUCAGUUGUCCUGACGCUUUGGCCCUGACCCCCACACCCUCAAGGCUACAAGGCACUGUGUGUGGUCAUGGUGCUGGCUUUGGGAAGGCCUGGAGGAGCUGAGGGCAUGGGGAGGGCUGAGCAUUUUAGACGGAGGCUGAGGGGAGAAAGGAUGGAGGUGUGGUAGUAGCCCUGAGGGGAAUAGAGCCCCCAGUGGUGGCAGGGCGGGUGGGUGGGAGGGACAUAAAUCCAAAGAUAAGCAACUUUGGGCACUGCUUGAGUGAAAAACGGGCAUUUUAGGACAAAUACAAAGAAGAGCACUUCACACAAUGGCUCACGAUGAAUGAAUCGGAGAGGCUAAGUUGAAAGGAUGGGAGGGUGGCACUGAGCCUGGAGACCGGUCCACGGGGCCUGUGACCACCCAUCUCUGCACCCAGCGGCUGAACCUGGCCUCCAGCCUGCGUUCACCAGUAUCCUCUCUCAUCACCCUCCCUGAGAGAUGCGGACCAAGAAGUGUGCCCACCUGCCCAGGAUCACAGCUGAAACCUGGGUUGGUUCGGUCCCAAAUCCAGCCUGUCUCAUCAGGCUACUCCAACUCUUCCAGAAAUCUCUGGGCUUCUUCCAUAUAUCCUGUUUUGAGUGUGGUUGAUUUGCUGUUGGUUUUUAUUUAUUUUGGCCACGCCGUGUGGCAUGUGGAAUCUUAGUUCCUCAACCAGGGAUUGAACUUGUGCCCCCUGUGUUGGUCCAUGCUGGUUGGUGGACCACCAGGGAAGUCCCUAGGGUGUGUGUUUGGAGCAUCCAUAGAUUCAAAUGCCUGAUGGAGCUCAGUUUUGACCGAGGAAGGCAGUGCUAAUAAUUUUCAGACUGGGUGCAUGCUAAGUCGCUUUAGUCAUGUCCAACUCUUUGCGACGCUAUGGACUGUAGCCUGCCUGGCUUGCUGUCCAUGGGAUUUCCCAGGCAAGAAUAACUAGAGUGGGUUGCCAUUUCCUUCUCCAGGGCAUCUUACUGACCCAGGGAUUGAACCUGUGUCUCCUGCAUUGCUGGCAGAUUCUUUACCAUUGAGCCACCAGGAAGUGUUUAAGGUAGACGAGAAGAGCAGCAGGUGAGGGGAUCAAACCUGAUGCCUUAUCCCAGGACCGUGGUUCUUAAUUUCCACUGCACCCUGAAAUCACCAAGCUACACCCCUGAUCAAUCACACAAGAUUUCUGGGGCUGGGACCCAGGAAGCAGGGCCGUCCUAAGCGCCGUGGGUGGAACCACUGCCCUGGAGCCAUGGCCUCCGCAUGCGCUGAGGUCUCAGGAUAAAAAUAUUUACGGACAUGUUCACGUGGGAACCUCCGUGCCUGGGGAUGCUGUGACCCCCCUGGCACCCCUAGGACGCCCCACUGCUGCUCCUGGUGGCUCUGCAGUCACUUUAACAACAAGGAAAAAGCUUUGGUGAAACCCAAGGAUUGAAAUUAAUCAGAAAGAAAAGGUCUAAGCAAAAAAAAAAAAACAACCUAGAAGAUAACUUUUGUUAAAUAAUGAACACUCAUGAAACAGCCAUGAAAUGGUAUUAAAAUGUCUGUGAUUACUUAUUUCUCAGCAUUCAUCUGAUAACUGAAGCAGCAGGAAGCAAUAGUUGCACUUAAAAAAAUGACAAGAAAAUAGCUAUUCAUUUAGUCGUGUCCUCAGUAAGAU